UAGUCCACGCCGUAAACGAUGUUUGCUAGUUGUCAGGCUCUUAGAGUUUGGUGACGGAGAGAAAUCAUUAAGCAAACCGCCUGGGGAGUACGGCCGCAAGGUUAAAACUCAAAGGAAUUGACGGGGACCCGCACAAGCGGUGGAGCAUGUUGUUUAAUUCGAAGCAACGCGAAGAACCUUACCCACUCUUGACAUCCUCCUUGGGACUUUCAGAGAUGAUUGUCUUCGGUUCGGCCGGGGGAGUGACAGGUGCUGCAUGGCUGUCGUCAGCUCGUGUCGUGAGAUGUUCGGUUAAGUCCGGUAACGAGCGCAACCCUUAUUGAUAGUUGCCACCAUUCAGUUGGGCACUCUAUUGAUACUGCCGGUGAUAAGCCGGAGGAAGGCGGGGACGACGUCAAGUCAUCAUGGCCCUUACGAGUGGGGCUACAAACGUGCUACAAUGGUAGUGACAGUGGGCAGCCACCUCGCGAGAGGGAGCUAAUCUCCAAAAACUAUCUCAGUUCGGAUUGUUCU
RNAcentral lists this ribosomal RNA (513 nucleotides) under uncultured bacterium. RNAcentral's name for it is "bacterial SSU rRNA". It matches the Rfam family "Bacterial small subunit ribosomal RNA", at positions 791 to 1304 of the family's 1533-position model. The record is from RNAcentral.